CCUGCCCAGGCAGCCAUUGCCGUUGAUGCCCCCUCCGACAUCGAGCCCGCAGUCCCCCGAGCUUCUUCAAGAAGCCCUCCGACCGAGGUUUUCGCUCCAGAGUCUCGUCUCGAGGAGGCACCGGGGGCCGAAAGUAGGAGAAGGAAGAAGAUGUUGGCUCGCAAGAUCCACAGCAGUAGAGCUGCCAUCGAGGGGUCCAACGGCUCC
This 207-nucleotide long non-coding RNA is filed under the name Elaeis guineensis (African oil palm). Its description in RNAcentral is "long non-coding RNA (EGUI_LNC065978)". The record is from RNAcentral. Lineage: Eukaryota; Viridiplantae; Streptophyta; Magnoliopsida; Arecales; Arecaceae.